UACGUAGGGGGCAAGCGUUGUCCGGAUUUAUUGGGCGUAAAGGGCGCGUAGGCGGCCUGCUAAGUCGGAUGUGAAAUCCCUCGGCUCAACCGAGGAACUGCAUCCGAUACUGGCGGGCUUGAAUCCGGGAGAGGGAUGUGGAAUUCCAGGUGUAGCGGUGAAAUGCGUAGAUAUCUGGAGGAACACCGGUGGCGAAGGCGGCAUCCUGGACCGGUAUUGACGCUGAGGCGCGAAAGCUAGGGGAGCAAACGGG
This 253-nucleotide ribosomal RNA is filed under the name uncultured bacterium. Its description in RNAcentral is "partial 16S ribosomal RNA". It matches the Rfam family "Bacterial small subunit ribosomal RNA", at positions 524 to 776 of the family's 1533-position model. The record is from RNAcentral.